CUUUUUGCGAGCGGGGGUGGCCUUGGACUGCGAUCCUCCCCAUCUCUUACCUCCACAGUAGCUGGAAUUACAAACGUAAACCACCGCGCCUGGCUAUUCCAGCGUCCUUCUAUCUAUCUAUCUAUCUAUCUAUCUAUCAUCUAUUAUCAAUCAUCUAUCUAUUAUCUAUCGUCUAUCUCAUCAUCCUUCUUGGACCUACAGUACUGUAAUUCCACAAUAAGCGAAAUUCUUCCCCACCCUGCUAACUUAACUCCAACCUUCUGUCCAUUUUCUCAAGACGAUCAGGUGUCCUGGAAAAGUCCCAGAAAAGUGGGUUUUCCUUCUCCCUUGGUCAUAAAAUCUUACAGGCUUCUACCCUGGUGCCCGCGACAGCCAACUUCCACAGCGCCCGGGUCUCUCGCGAGACCAGCGACACGGGCUCGCGGUAGUCUCGCGAGAGCGGAGGCUCCAGGAAGUGGGCGAGAGGAGCGGCCCGCCCACCUGAGCAAGUGCGCGCGCGGCCCGGCGGGGUCAGUCUUCUUGGGGACCUGGCUGGACGGACUCUCGGGGACGCGCGCUGCCUGCCACGCCCACACGGCCUCGCGAGUCCCCAGCCGCAGCCCCUCCCUUUGCCCUUCAGGGCGCCCUGCGCUCCGCGGGCGGUGGCUCGGGUCCCCCGCCCGGGCAGCCGGCCUGGCCUUCCCCUUUUGCUCUCUGUCCCCGCUGGAGCGCCGACGCCGCGCGGCCCUGCAGUGUCCCAGACGUGGCACGUCCAGCUUGCUCGCCGGGUAAUGCGUUCGACUCUGGAGUUCUUUUAAUUCUUCUGAAGGAGUUCAAAUCUUGCAGAAGCCAAAAUGGGACACAGUAAACAGAUUCGAAUUUUACUUCUGAACGAAAUGGACAAGCUGGAAAAGACCCUGUUCAGACUUGAACAAGGUUAGUUGCAAAUUGUUUAAUUAGCUCGUUUGUGUCUUAGAAUUUUUUAACUCAUCGAUGGUCUGUUAAAAACUUAAAAUUAGGCACUAGGGUGAUUGGGUAUGCUUAGUAUGAGUGAGUCCCUGGGUUCAAUUUCAAGCAUAAAAAAAAAAAAAAACCUUUAUGUUAGAGAAAAGUUGCUAGGAUCUUUUUAAAACUUGAUUUGUGCAAAGACAGUGCUGCGUUCCACAAGUAUCACUAUAAAGUCUGGUUGUAGUUAGAAAUAUUUUAUAUCUGUCAUGUUAAAACAAGGAUAAAAUAUAGUUCACUUUUUCUUUGCCUGCUAACUCCCACCUAAGACAAAGCCAGCUUGGGCAAAUAGUUUUAGAGAACCUAUCUCGAAAAACCCUAUCACAAAAAACUGGGCUGGUGGAGUGGCUCAAGGUAAAGGCCCUGAGUUCAAAUCCCAAAAGAGUUCAGCAAAAAGUAUGGUAAGUUUUAGUUUAUGUUUCAUCAAAAGCUUCUCAAAUAAGUAAAAGCUCAAAGUAUUUUCUUGCCAAAUAUAAAGUGAAAUCACUGAUCAGGUUAUGUCAAAAUGUAUUUGAGAUGUGAUUUAAAACAUCAAAUUAGGCUGGGGUCAGCUUGCCUAGCAUGUGCAAGACCCUGUGUACAAUCCCUAGCACUACAAAUAAAACAAAAUAAAAGAUCA
Molecule: long non-coding RNA, 1603 nt
Organism: Castor canadensis (American beaver)
Lineage: Eukaryota; Metazoa; Chordata; Mammalia; Rodentia; Castoridae
Source: Ensembl